RNAcentral lists this ribosomal RNA (253 nucleotides) under uncultured bacterium. RNAcentral's name for it is "partial 16S ribosomal RNA". It matches the Rfam family "Bacterial small subunit ribosomal RNA", at positions 524 to 776 of the family's 1533-position model. The record is from RNAcentral.
UACGUAGGGUGCAAGCGUUGUCCGGAAUUAUUGGGCGUAAAGAGCUCGUAGGCGGUCUGUCGCGUCGGAUGUGAAAAUCCAGGGCUCAACCCUGGACCUGCAUUCGAUAUGGGCAGACUAGAGUUCGGCAGGGGAGACUGGAAUUCCUGGUGUAGCGGUGAAAUGCGCAGAUAUCAGGAGGAACACCGGUGGCGAAGGCGGGUCUCUGGGCCGAUACUGACGCUGAGGAGCGAAAGCGUGGGGAGCGAACAGG